CCUACGGGGGGCAGCAGUGGGGAAUUUUGCGCAAUGGGGGAAACCCUGACGCAGCGACGCCGCGUGAAGGAUGAAGGUCUUCGGAUUGUAAACUUCUUUUGUCGGGGAAGAUAAUGACGGUACCCGAUGAAUAAGCCACGGCUAACUCUGUGCCAGCAGCCGCGGUAAGACAGAGGUGGCAAGCGUUGUUCGGAAUUACUGGGCUUAAAGGGCGCGUAGGCGGUGGAGUAAGUCUGAGGUGGAAGGUUAGGGCUUAACCCUGAAAUUGCCUUGGAAACUGCAUCACUUGAGUCAGCGAGGGGAUGGCGGAAUUCCCGGUGUAGCGGUGAAAUGCGUAGAUAUCGGGAGGAAGGCCGGUGGCGAAGGCGGCCAUCUGGCGCUGAACUGACGCUGAGGCGCGAAAGCGUGGGGAGCAAACAGGAUUAGAUACCCCUGUAGUC
This 440-nucleotide ribosomal RNA is filed under the name uncultured Nitrospirota bacterium. RNAcentral describes it as "bacterial SSU rRNA". It matches the Rfam family "Bacterial small subunit ribosomal RNA", at positions 338 to 795 of the family's 1533-position model. Lineage: Bacteria; Pseudomonadati; Nitrospirota. The record is from RNAcentral.